ACUACUUUUUUCCCUCAGAGCGCGGAAGGAUAUUGCACCAUUGACGGCGUGACAGCGCCUCGCUCCUUCCUCCCGCUCUCCUCCCCCCCCCCCCUCGUUCCUGCGCACGGGGUUUCCCGCUCCGGCCCCUGCUGCAGCGCGGGGGAGGGGGAGCGUGGCGGGGGCGGCGGGGGUAGCGAAGGAGGGGGGAGGCGGCGGGAAGGGGCGAGGGCGGCCGGGGCCGACACGACCGGGGCCCGGCGGGCCAGGCAGUCGGGCUGAGAGGGGCAGGGAGCAGGCCAUGCGGCAGCAGCUGAGGGGGCAGAGCGGCUCCCUGUCAUGGCUGCGUUUCCCCCGCCAUGUCGGUUAUUUUUAAAGCCCCGGUGCCUGGAAGUCAGGGGAUGACAGAGGAGAGCGGCUUCCUCGGGCGGGGAAGACGGCUGCUGGGCCGCGGGGCUCGCCCCUGUCCGUCCCCCCCCCAGAAAUGACUCCCUCCUCCUCCCUGCUAGGCUAAAACACCCCCUGAAUUCUCCCUCCUCACCUCCUGCUGAGGGGCAGGAAGGGGCUAAGCCCGGGUCGGUUAGUGAGGGGGGCAGCGCUGGGCGACAGGGAGCGGCGGCCGGCGGGGCCGUGAGGUGAGGGGGGAAGAUGGUGGCGCCUGAGGGCCCCCCCCCUCAGCCCCGGCCCCCUCCUCAGCCCCGGCCCCCGCUGAAGCACGGGGUGGGUUUGUGUGGAAACCGGCGUCGCGGUGAGGAGGCCGGCCGGGCCCGGGGGCGGGGGGGUGCGCGGGCGGCGGGUGCUCCGUCUGCCCGGGUUUAGGACAGCAGCUUAGCUGAAUCACGCAAAUUUGUCACGGGGUGUUAAAUGUGGAUAAUUUCUAAAGGGGAUGAAGGCGUAUUUGGAGAGUAUUUGAGGGAGAUAGGCGGGGUGGUCCUCGGGGCGCUACUGAAAACGCAGUGCUGCGGUUCAUAGUACAGCCAGCGAUGUCUGCGAAAAAAAUCUGUCACGGCUGAUUUAAAGGUUGCACCCAGGAACAGCUGCCCACGUUUUCCUGGGGUCCACUGACACAAGCAAGCAUGGACAUCCACUGAUGCAAGCACAGACAGGAUGCAGAAGGAAAGAGAGAAAAGUCAGAACCGUAAAGGACUGCUGCCUCAGAGCUGCUGUUGCCAUAGAGCUGCUAACGAGGAAAAAACUGCAGCAUGGAUUUCUUCUGCUGUUGAAGUGUGCCAAAAUUUUGAGCUGGUGUGUGGGCCACAGGAGGUGUUCUUAGAUUGAUGGGAGUGAAUUGUUUGAGAACUUCUGAGUUGUGACGAAAGGGAGAGGAACCUGCUCUUUAAGAAUCUCAAACAACUACAGGGAAAGUGUGACGACAAAGGUUGGUUUGUGCAGAAAAGUAGUGAGUGCAGAAUUUGGAUCACUCUCCAUAAAAGUCUCCAGGAAUAUUUAGAGGUACCGUUCUUGAACCAGGCUGAGGCCCUGAUCUUUACAACAUUAUUGCAGGAGCUGUCUGGGUCUGUCCAUAAUGAAUGGAGAAGGAAUGGCUUCAUCACCUGGAGAUUCCUCUUCUAAUCUAGAUGGGAUGACUUGCCACUGGAGGAGCAUGUACUUUGCUGUUCAUUUCAGAAGAAGUCCUGGCAGCAAGUCUCAGCCAUUGGCAGUAAUCUAUGUGCUUAAACCUUCAACAUUUAUCAGUUUGAAGCUCAAGUGCUUACAGUCACUAGUCAUGGGCCAGCCACACUGGAUACCUUUCAAAUGCAAGCAACUGAUGCUUCAAGCUAAUAAGGUUGGUUAUUCACCUGGGGCUCAGUCCUGCACAGGAAUCUCUCAUUUGACUGCUUAUGUGAGAGUUUACAUUUGUUUUAAAGACACUCAUACAGAAGAGGUUUAAGAGGUUUGGCUCUUUUGGCAGUGGGAUGUGGCUUCUUCUGUAGUUCCUCCAGGGACUGCAAGGAAUCAGAGGUUGUUUCUGAACACUUUUGGAUCCCUCCAUGUGGUCAGGAUGCUAUCUGCUUAGCUUUUAAAAAUUUCAAGGACAUGGAAUGAACUGAUGUUUCUGAAGCGGAGGCUGACAGUGAGUACUGGUCUUCUGCUGCAUCUCUUGAAAUACCUAAAUCAAACCAUGCCCAUCUUUGAGAUGAUAGUUCCCAAGCUGGAGUGGCCCCUAGUUCGGGUUUGGGCGUUACCCUUUCGCUUGUAACUUCAACUCAGAAAAAUAGGCACAUAUCUGAAUAACAAACUUGUCAUCACAAACGUUUUCUGUAAGUGUCAGGUCUCCAACUAAAUUGCCUGGAUUUUCUUUCCUGGGAGUAAUUUUUGAGUAGAGAUGAAUAAGGUAUUUUAUUUGUCAGUUCUAAUUUGAAAAGCAAAGUCCAUUAUGUUUCAAAAAGCAAAGUUCAUUAUAUUUCAAAAGCCUUAGCUAUAGCAGACCAGCUUCAGAUGAUAUUGCAUGUAUAUCUUGAUAGGACACUGGGAAAGGCUUACAUCCUUGCCUACUUCAUUUUGAACUCCCCAUUUGAUCUUACUUUCUCCUAGUUGAUUCUCCCAGGCUAAGAAAAAUGCAUAAACACAAUUCCCUUUCACUGAUCUGAAAAUAUGUAGGAAGGCCCCUUCAGCACUCUCUCUCUGAAGAUGGUCUCAGCUUCUCCAGCCUCUCCUGAUAAUGAAGAUUUUCACUGACUGUAACAUCCUCAUUUCUGUCCUACAGUGCACGUUCUACAUCCUUCUCUAUGUACAAUUCUGGUGCUGCAAUGACUGUAGCUAUAUACUGCUUUAGAAGGAGUUUGGUAAUUACAAUAAUGGUAUCAUUUGGGGAACCUGAUAAUCAAUUCUCUGAUGUAGGAGGUUUUUACCUCUUUUUCUUUCAUGUUCUAAGAAUUGCAAUGACAGCUUGGUCCUGCUUCUAAUUUAUCCCUUAUUCCAUUUCACUCUUUUGUUUCUGAUGAAACAACCCCUCACAAUCUGAUAUGAGUGAAAGGCAGCACAGUGUCAAAAGAAAGUCCCACGUCUGGCUGCCAAGCAAAAGACAAAAUGUACCAGUAGGAUGCUGUGCAUCAGCAGUGCUUCCAGGAGGCAGCCUUCUUCCAGAUCUUGCCCCCAGUGUGUCACUGUUAGAGAGAACACAACCAACAUGUUUUAAUGAAGAAUACUGGCAGUCAGCUGGAAGAGAAGAGACCAUAUUUAUCCUUUCUGUAGCACCAUUUUGACUAGCAUCAUUUAUGCAUGUUUAGGGUUUGUUGUUCACUACAAGAGCAGUGACUGGUGUCCUGGUUUCAGCUGGGAUAGAGUUAAUUGUCUUCCUAGUAGCUGGUACAGUGCUAUCUUUUUGAGUUAGGUAUGAGAAGAAUGUUGAUAACACACUGAUGUUUACAGUUGUUGCUAAUAGUGUUUAGUCUAAAGUCAAGGAUUUUUCAGCUUCUGAUGCCCAGCCAGCAAGAAGGCUGGAGGGGCACAAGAAGUUGGGAGGGGACACAGCCAGGGCAGCUGACCCAAACUGGCCAAAGGGGUAUUCCAUACCAUGUG
Molecule: long non-coding RNA, 3501 nt
Organism: Harpia harpyja (harpy eagle)
Lineage: Eukaryota; Metazoa; Chordata; Aves; Accipitriformes; Accipitridae
Exons: 8
Source: RefSeq, a predicted model, not a curated record